Molecule: ribosomal RNA, 460 nt
Filed under: uncultured bacterium
Lineage: Bacteria
Description: partial 16S ribosomal RNA
Rfam family: Bacterial small subunit ribosomal RNA
Source: RNAcentral
CCUACGGGUGGCAGCAGUGAGGCAUAUUGCUCAAUGGGCGCGAGCCUGAACCAGCCAAGCAGCGUGAAGGAUGACUGCCCUACGGUUUGUCAACUUCUUUUAUAAAGGAAUAAAGUGAGGCAUUUGUGCCUUUUUGCAUUUACUUUAUGAAUAAGGAUAGGCUAACACAGUUCCAGCAGCCGCGGGAAUACGGAGGCUCCGAGCGUUACCCGGAUUUAUUGGGUGUAAAGGUAGCGUAGGGGGGUUGUUAAGUUAGUUGUGAAAGUUUGCGGCUCAACCGUAGAACUGCAUUUGAUACUGGCAGUCUUGAGUACAGUAGAGGUAGGCGGAAGUCGUGGUGUAGCGGUGAAAUGCGUAGAGAUCAAGAAGAACACCGAUUGCGAAGGCAGCCUACUAGACUGACACUGACGCUGAUGCUCGAAAGUGUGGGGAGCAAACAGGAUUAGAGACCCUAGUAGUC